This 69-nucleotide transfer RNA is filed under the name Scudderia furcata furcata. RNAcentral's name for it is "transfer RNA-Val". It matches the Rfam family "tRNA". Rfam says of the family: Transfer RNA (tRNA) molecules are approximately 80 nucleotides in length. Their secondary structure includes four short double-helical elements and three loops (D, anti-codon, and T loops). Lineage: Eukaryota; Metazoa; Arthropoda; Insecta; Orthoptera; Tettigoniidae. The record is from RNAcentral.
AAGAAGCUUAUUAGUAAAGCAUCUCAUUUACACUGAGAGGAUUCUGUGCAAUUCAGACUAUUUUGAAGG